Molecule: long non-coding RNA, 343 nt
Filed under: Theobroma cacao (cacao)
Lineage: Eukaryota; Viridiplantae; Streptophyta; Magnoliopsida; Malvales; Malvaceae
Description: long non-coding RNA (TCAC_LNC000093)
Source: RNAcentral
UGGAGGCUCCACCUCAGACUCCAACUACUCCUGGGACUUCUGGUUCUAUUGCGCCUCAAGCCCAAUCUACUUCUCAGCCUCAGCCCUCACCUCGUCAACAGGUUCCUAGACAGCAGCUUCCACCUCCUGCUCUUCCACCACCACCGCCCUUGUCUAACCCACCACCGGUUAGAGAACGGCUCCCUCUUCCACCACCACCUCCAGAGAAACUAGAUCCUCCUAUUGUCACUCUGGAUGACCUGUUUCGGAAAACCAAAGCAACUCCUAGGAUCUACUAUUUGCCUCUGUCAGAAGAACAAGUUGCAGCAAAGCGAGCAGCACGUGGCAGAAACGUGAAGCAGUA